Molecule: ribosomal RNA, 581 nt
Filed under: Moesziomyces aphidis
Lineage: Eukaryota; Fungi; Basidiomycota; Ustilaginomycetes; Ustilaginales; Ustilaginaceae
Description: partial large subunit ribosomal RNA
Rfam family: Eukaryotic large subunit ribosomal RNA
Source: RNAcentral
GUAACGGCGAGUGAAGAGGGAAGAGCCCAAGAUUGAAAGCUGGCGUCUUCGGCGUCCGCAUUGUAAUCUCAAGAAGUGUUUUCCGCUUCGGACCAAGCCUAAGUCCCUUGGAAAAGGGCAUCAUAGAGGGUGAUAAUCCCGUACAUGGCUUGGAGCGCCCGAAGCUUUGUGAUACGCUUUCUAAGAGUCGAGUUGUUUGGGAAUGCAGCUCAAAAUGGGUGGUAAAUGCCAUCUAAGGCUAAAUAUUGGGGAGAGACCGAUAGCGAACAAGUACAGUGAUGGAAAGAUGAAAAGAACUUUGAAAAGAGAGUUAAACAGUACGUGAAAUUGCCAAAAGGGAAGGGUAGGAGGUCAGAGAUGCGGCCUGGGAUUCAGCCUUGCUUUUGCUUGGUGUUUUUCCCAGAUUGCAGGCCAACGUCGGUUUUGGGCACUGGAGAAGGGUAGGAGGAACGUGGCACCUCUCGGGGUGUGUUAUAGCCUCCUACUGGAUACAGCGACCGAGACCGAGGACAGCAGCGUACUCGCAAGAGCGGGCCUUCGGGCACCUUUACGCUUAGGGCGUUGGCAUAAUGGCCCUCUAC